Molecule: ribosomal RNA, 2052 nt
Filed under: Escherichia coli 6-175-07_S3_C3
Lineage: Bacteria; Pseudomonadati; Pseudomonadota; Gammaproteobacteria; Enterobacterales; Enterobacteriaceae
Description: bacterial LSU rRNA
Rfam family: Bacterial large subunit ribosomal RNA
Source: RNAcentral
ACACUAACUGGAGGACCGAACCGACUAAUGUUGAAAAAUUAGCGGAUGACUUGUGGCUGGGGGUGAAAGGCCAAUCAAACCGGGAGAUAGCUGGUUCUCCCCGAAAGCUAUUUAGGUAGCGCCUCGUGAAUUCAUCUCCGGGGGUAGAGCACUGUUUCGGCAAGGGGGUCAUCCCGACUUACCAACCCGAUGCAAACUGCGAAUACCGGAGAAUGUUAUCACGGGAGACACACGGCGGGUGCUAACGUCCGUCGUGAAGAGGGAAACAACCCAGACCGCCAGCUAAGGUCCCAAAGUCAUGGUUAAGUGGGAAACGAUGUGGGAAGGCCCAGACAGCCAGGAUGUUGGCUUAGAAGCAGCCAUCAUUUAAAGAAAGCGUAAUAGCUCACUGGUCGAGUCGGCCUGCGCGGAAGAUGUAACGGGGCUAAACCAUGCACCGAAGCUGCGGCAGCGACGCUUAUGCGUUGUUGGGUAGGGGAGCGUUCUGUAAGCCUGUGAAGGUGUGCUGUGAGGCAUGCUGGAGGUAUCAGAAGUGCGAAUGCUGACAUAAGUAACGAUAAAGCGGGUGAAAAGCCCGCUCGCCGGAAGACCAAGGGUUCCUGUCCAACGUUAAUCGGGGCAGGGUGAGUCGACCCCUAAGGCGAGGCCGAAAGGCGUAGUCGAUGGGAAACAGGUUAAUAUUCCUGUACUUGGUGUUACUGCGAAGGGGGGACGGAGAAGGCUAUGUUGGCCGGGCGACGGUUGUCCCGGUUUAAGCGUGUAGGCUGGUUUUCCAGGCAAAUCCGGAAAAUCAAGGCUGAGGCGUGAUGACGAGGCACUACGGUGCUGAAGCAACAAAUGCCCUGCUUCCAGGAAAAGCCUCUAAGCAUCAGGUAACAUCAAAUCGUACCCCAAACCGACACAGGUGGUCAGGUAGAGAAUACCAAGGCGCUUGAGAGAACUCGGGUGAAGGAACUAGGCAAAAUGGUGCCGUAACUUCGGGAGAAGGCACGCUGAUAUGUAGGUGAAGCGACUUGCGGAUGGAGCUGAAAUCAGUCGAAGAUACCAGCUGGCUGCAACUGUUUAUUAAAAACACAGCACUGUGCAAACACGAAAGUGGACGUAUACGGUGUGACGCCUGCCCGGUGCCGGAAGGUUAAUUGAUGGGGUUAGCGGCAACGCGAAGCUCUUGAUCGAAGCCCCGGUAAACGGCGGCCGUAACUAUAACGGUCCUAAGGUAGCGAAAUUCCUUGUCGGGUAAGUUCCGACCUGCACGAAUGGCGUAAUGAUGGCCAGGCUGUCUCCACCCGAGACUCAGUGAAAUUGAACUCGCUGUGAAGAUGCAGUGUACCCGCGGCAAGACGGAAAGACCCCGUGAACCUUUACUAUAGCUUGACACUGAACAUUGAGCCUUGAUGUGUAGGAUAGGUGGGAGGCUUUGAAGUGUGGACGCCAGUCUGCAUGGAGCCGACCUUGAAAUACCACCCUUUAAUGUUUGAUGUUCUAACGUUGGCCCGUAAUCCGGGUUGCGGACAGUGUCUGGUGGGUAGUUUGACUGGGGCGGUCUCCUCCUAAAGAGUAACGGAGGAGCACGAAGGUUGGCUAAUCCUGGUCGGACAUCAGGAGGUUAGUGCAAUGGCAUAAGCCAGCUUGACUGCGAGCGUGACGGCGCGAGCAGGUGCGAAAGCAGGUCAUAGUGAUCCGGUGGUUCUGAAUGGAAGGGCCAUCGCUCAACGGAUAAAAGGUACUCCGGGGAUAACAGGCUGAUACCGCCCAAGAGUUCAUAUCGACGGCGGUGUUUGGCACCUCGAUGUCGGCUCAUCACAUCCUGGGGCUGAAGUAGGUCCCAAGGGUAUGGCUGUUCGCCAUUUAAAGUGGUACGCGAGCUGGGUUUAGAACGUCGUGAGACAGUUCGGUCCCUAUCUGCCGUGGGCGCUGGAGAACUGAGGGGGGCUGCUCCUAGUACGAGAGGACCGGAGUGGACGCAUCACUGGUGUUCGGGUUGUCAUGCCAAUGGCACUGCCCGGUAGCUAAAUGCGGAAGAGAUAAGUGCUGAAAGCAUCUAAGCACGAA